GACGAACGCUGGCGGCGUGCCUAAUACAUGCAAGUUGAGCGAUGAAGGUUGGUGCUUGCACCAAUUUGAAGAGCAGCGAACGGGUGAGUAACGCGUGGGGAAUCUGCCUUUGAGCGGGGGACAACAUUUGGAAACGAAUGCUAAUACCGCAUAACAACUUUAAACAUAAGUUUUAAGUUUGAAAGAUGCAAUUGCAUCACUCAAAGAUGAUCCCGCGUUGUAUUAGCUAGUUGGUGAGGUAAAGGCUCACCAAGGCGAUGAUACAUAGCCGACCUGAGAGGGUGAUCGGACACAUUGGGACUGAGACACGGCCCACACUCCUACGGGAGGCAGCAGUAGAGAAUCUUCGGCAAUGGACGAAAGUCUGACCGAGCAACGCCGCGUGAGUGAAGAAGGUUUUCGGAUCGUAAAACUCUGUUGGUAGAGAAGAACGUUGGUGAGAGUGGAAAGCUCAUCAAGUGACGGUAACUACCCAGAAAGGGACGGCUAACUACGUG
Molecule: ribosomal RNA, 497 nt
Filed under: uncultured bacterium
Lineage: Bacteria
Description: partial 16S ribosomal RNA
Rfam family: Bacterial small subunit ribosomal RNA
Source: RNAcentral